UACAGAGGAUGCAAGCGUUGUUCGGAAUUAUUGGGCGUAAAGGGCGCGUAGGCGGUGCUGUAAGUCUGUAGUGAAAUCUCUGGGCUCAACUCAGAGUCUGCUAUAGAAACUGCAGUGCUGGAGUGUGGGAGAGGUGAGUGGAAUUCCCGGUGUAGCGGUGAAAUGCGCAGAUAUCAGGAAGAACACCUAUGGCGAAGGCAGCUCUCUGGGACGGUACUGACGCUGAGACGCGAAAGCGUGGGGAGCGAACAGG
Molecule: ribosomal RNA, 253 nt
Filed under: uncultured bacterium
Lineage: Bacteria
Description: partial 16S ribosomal RNA
Rfam family: Bacterial small subunit ribosomal RNA
Source: RNAcentral